This 348-nucleotide unclassified non-coding RNA is filed under the name soil metagenome. Its description in RNAcentral is "partial contains 5.8S ribosomal RNA, internal transcribed spacer 2, and large subunit ribosomal RNA". The stretch from base 1 to 120 matches the Rfam family "5.8S ribosomal RNA", at positions 35 to 154 of the family's 154-position model. The record is from RNAcentral.
GAUGAAGAACGUAGCGAAAUGCGAUAAGUAGUGUGAAUUGCAGAAUUCAGUGAAUCAUCGAAUCUUUGAACGCACAUUGCGCCCAUCAGUAUUCUGUUGGGCAUGCCUGUCCGAGCGUCAUUUCAACCCUCAGGGCCCGUUCGCGGGAACUGGUGUUGGGGAUCGGCCUCCCCCCGGAGGCCGGCCCCGAAAUGCAGUGGCGGCUCUACCGCGAUCUCCUCUGUGUAGUAGCGAUACCUCGCAGCUGGAUAGUGGUGGUGCCACGCCGUAAAAUCCCAACUUUACCAAGGUUGACCUCGGAUCAGGUAGGAAUACCCGCUGAACUUAAGCAUAUCAAUAAGCGGAGGA